GGGCCCAUAGCUCAUCUGGUAGAGCGCCUGCUUUGCACGCAGGAGGUGGCAGGUUCGAGUCCUGUUGGGUCCACCA
Molecule: transfer RNA, 76 nt
Filed under: Bacteroidota bacterium
Lineage: Bacteria; Pseudomonadati; Bacteroidota
Also listed under: 1 other name
Description: Bacteroidetes bacterium (biofilm metagenome) tRNA-Ala
Rfam family: tRNA
About the family: Transfer RNA (tRNA) molecules are approximately 80 nucleotides in length. Their secondary structure includes four short double-helical elements and three loops (D, anti-codon, and T loops). Further hydrogen bonds mediate the characteristic L-shaped molecular structure. tRNAs have two regions of fundamental functional importance: the anti-codon, which is responsible for specific mRNA codon recognition, and the 3' end, to which the tRNAs corresponding amino acid is attached (by aminoacyl-tRNA synthetases). tRNAs cope with the degeneracy of the genetic code in two manners: having more than one tRNA (with a specific anti-codon) for a particular amino acid; and 'wobble' base-pairing, i.e. permitting non-standard base-pairing at the 3rd anti-codon position.
Source: RNAcentral